Long non-coding RNA from Mercenaria mercenaria, 2125 nucleotides. RefSeq lists it as uncharacterized. The record is from RefSeq and is a predicted model, not a curated record. The transcript is spliced from 3 exons. Lineage: Eukaryota; Metazoa; Mollusca; Bivalvia; Venerida; Veneridae.
UUGGGGGAAAAAGUAUUUUCCAAUGUCCAAUAUCAUGCACCGUGUGCUAUUUUUUCUCUACUUCCGGUAAGAAGUAAACAUCGUAUUUCGCUGUCAAAUUGUUUGGAACACACUCUGUUCGAAGAAUACUGGUUAUUGUCAAGUGAAUCGUGUAUGUGCUGCGGAGAGUUGUGUUAAUUGCGACAUGAAAGACGAACGUAAAAUAGCAACAUUGGGUGAAAAAAUGUGUAGAUAGUUAAUUUCUGCAGCCAGAAAUAAAGAACAAAUGUAUGUUAGACCUGAGAAAAUUGUGUGCUAUGAGUGUAGAAAAAUUACUGCCACCCGAAUCUACUUGGAGAUGCAAACGGUACCUCUAUAACGUAGCGAAACGGACACAUUGAUCUGACUUCUUUUCAUUUCAAAUGCCUGUUCUGAGGUACAGAUGUCAAACAAAAUGACAAAAAGGCAUAUGAUGAUUUCCAAAUUUCAGUCAACAAUAAAGAAAAAUUGGAAGCGAAGUCUUCUGUUGACUCUAAUCCGUACAUGAUCUAACAGCAGUUGGUGCAAGAUAUCAUCAAAAAUGUAGCACACAUUUCAGAACAGGAUGUCAAGUUCCAACUCAGCAUCAAACACCUCAAAAUACUGUAAAACGUAGUAAAGGUAGACCAACAAAAUAAUCAUCUGAAGAAGCAUUUUUGAAAACCAUGCAUUAUUUUGAAAACACUGAAAGUGAGCAAAUAGCUUAAAUUAUUAAAUGAUCCCAGGCAGAGUCUUUAUAAAUAAACACUCUUAACAUGAUGACAUUGAAACAGCUGGUAGUAUAUCAUUCAUAAUUAUGUUUGUACAAAGGUAAAACAAAUGAAACAUUAAACACAUUGAGGUACAGAAAAUUCAUUACAAAGGCAACAAGCACAUCGGUAGUAAAGAUACAGAGCCUAACUCCUACAGAGGCAACUGCAAAGUUUCAUAGUUUUAGAGUGCACUGCCAUUAAAAUAGAGACAUGAAAUGGAAAGGAAACGAACCCUCUUGACUUGGGAUGGUACAAACGUGGUGAUAAACUUGUUCCUUGACACAGAGGUUGCUCUACUGGGAUGACUGUAGAUGUCAUGACAUUAACACUUAACUGACUUUCAUAAUCUUAAGAGAGCAAUGAAAAGUUUUUCGAACAUACUAAUUUUAUAAUAGAGCAUAUUUUUACAGUAUAUCGCAUCGCAGAGUUUUGUUCUCACAUUUUUGUACAUUACGGCUUUGUGUACAUUUGCUGUUAGCUGAAAAUUGUAGUUUAGUAUCAAUUUUAAAACAGUUUUAACAUUUUACUGUAGUGACGCCCUGUUCUAUAUAUACUAUAGUACAGUCACUGUUGAUCUGGGAUUCUUUUCCUGAAUGUUUCUUAAUAAUUUUUUAUUAUUAUACUGUUGUUAAUAUAACAUUUAUUACAUUUAGUGCGAGUUUCAAGGAAAUAGUUUAAAGAUAUUGCAUGCACGUUUUAUUGAUGGGUGGACCCGCCCGCUUAGCUCAUUGGGAAGUGCACCGAUCUACAGAUCGCGGGGUCGUGAGUUGGAUCCUCGGGCGGGCCGUAUGUUCUCCAUGACGACUUGAUAAAAGACAUUGUGUCUGAAAUCGUUCAUCCUCCACCUCUGAUUCAUGUGGGGAAGUUGGUGGUUACUUGCGGAUAACAGGUUUGUACAGGUACAGAAUCCAGGAACACUGGUUAGGUUAACUGCCUGCCGAUACAUAACUGAAAUACUGUUUAAAAACGGCGUUAAAUCCAACACAAAUAAAAUUGAUGGGUGGGGUAAAUCUAUAGUGUAAAUUAAUGCAUUUAUUAGUAAAUGUCACAACAAAGCUUAGUAUCAGCUUUAAUUUAUGUGAUAUUUCAUAUAAUCAAUGCCUCUGAUCGAAGAAAUAAACCAACGUAUAGAUUUAAACUAAUGUAUGUUACCUAAUGCAUGAACCUCUUGAUUCGCCUGAAUCACUGAAUUGCAAAGAGGGUGCCCUUCAUAAUCUCAUUUUUUAAGAUUUUCCAAUGGGAAUUUUUUUGAGGACUUUUUUCUAAAAUGCUCUAAUGUUUAAAGAUUAUAAAACAAUAAAAACAUUUCAUGUUGGAAUUUGUUUAACCUUUUGACAUAAUAUGUGGUAAUAUGA